CUCAGUGGCGUGUCCCAGCCCCCAGGAAAGCUCAAAGCUCGUGCUUAACUUACAAUGGCUUCAAAGAGCCGACCCCCUUGCUUCAGACUCUGGCGGGACCAACCCUGGUGUGCAACUCCCAGAAUCAGGUCGAAGCUGUUCGUCAGCUCAGACCGCAUCCUCACCCUUUCUUUUCCUCGCCCUGACCCCGCCCGCGCCUCUCUCCUCCUGAGCGCGCCUCUUCAAUAAAUCGCCUGCACGGGAAACUCCAUCCUCCCGCUCAGCUUCCAGGGAACCGAGCCUAAGAUUGCCUCUCAGCUCUGAUGCGCAUCAAACCAGCCCUGUUCAAACCACCUCCAAGAAAAUAUCCGGCAGGCCAAAGCGGCACAGGAACACGUGCAAGCCGCUCCCAGGGAGUCAAGGCUCGGUUCUGUCCAGAGCUGUGAACUGGAGGAAGCGACUUAACCUCUGAACCCUAAUUUCUGAUUGGUGGCGAUGCUCAUUUGCAGACAUCCAGUGCAUCUGGUUUCCAUCGCUGCUUCGUUUUUAUUCUAAAGCCUGUGCAGGUAGCCUUGGCAGUGGAGGGAGGAGGGUAGCAGAGAGAGAGAGAAACUCCAAGAUGGGUAAAUGUCACUGAGAUACAUUUUCUUCCAACGCCUCCCUUCCCAGAACCUGGCCACAGGUGGAGGCGGUGGAGGUUCUGGGGUAAGAGGCCCCAAAGGAAAUCGGGCCCUAACUCUUGAGUGGGGUGGGGGGGUCCCACAGCCCCUCCCUCCCAGGGUGUUUCCAUUCAGAUACACUUACUCUAUCAUGUUCGAAGAAACGUUGGACAUGGACUGCACAGACAGGUUCCCUUCACCCUUUCGGACCCAUCCUCUCUCGAUUGUAACAGCUGAAUCAGGAGAAAAAGCCAGUCUCCAUUAAGUAUUAACACAUCCUCGCAGAGCUUCCUAAAAGUCCUCUUUUUUCAAGUGGUUUCUUCUUGCCUAUCUCGGUCUCUGAGGUAGCCACAUGAGCGGCGUAGGAAAAGCACUAGGGGACGGAGGGAAGAUAUAUGCGUGUUGUGUGCGCGUGUGGGUCUGUAUGUUAAAGAUACCAAUACGGCCAUCCACGUUAAAUGCACAAAACAGAAAGGCGUUGUGCACAGACGGAAUUCUCUCACGUUUCUUAUUCCAAGAUGAAUGGCGCCCCCCCCCCGCCCACACACACACAUACACACACUGUCUUGGUAUUUUGGAUUUUAUGAUUAUCAUUGCUCUGUCAUUGCAUGUUAUGGAUCAGUCUUCACCUAUGUUCUCCUUUCAGUUACGGACGAGUUUAUGCUGCCGACCCCUACCACCACGCACUUGCUCCAGCCCCCACCUACGGCGUUGGUGCCAUGAAUGCUUUUGCACCUUUGACUGAUGCCAAGACUAGGAGCCAUGCUGAUGAUGUGGGUCUCGUUCUUUCUUCAUUGCAGGCUAGUAUAUACCGAGGGGGAUACAACCGUUUUGCUCCAUACUAAAUGACAAAACCAUAAAAACCUUCCAAUGUGGGGAGAAAGGAAGCUUUCCGAGGCCUGAGUAUUGCAAUACAUGCAGUAGUGCAUCAUUUUAGCAACUCUAAAAAAAAAAAAUUAAAAAUAAAAAGAGGAAAAAAUUACAUUUUUUAUCUUAUACCUCAGAUAUUUUGUUCUGUGUAUUUUAAUAUUGUGGGUCUUUAAUUUCUGAAGGUUCCAUAGUUUGGUUGCUGGCUGUAGGAGUUUUUGUGGUUGAUCUAGAGAGAUGCUAGAUAUGAAAAAAAAAAAAUAAAACUGGUUUAGGGCCAUAUCCAGAGUGCUAUAUUAUGUAAAUGAAUUAUAUAUGCUGAAUAUUAAGCUACUGGGGGUAUCAGCUGUUUGGGAAGAGUGUAAGUGACUAUAGUAGUCAUUUUUUUUUUCCUGCAUCUGCAUUAUUUUAUUUUGCAAAAGGGGAGGUUGGGAGGGGCUUAGGGGAUUGGAAUUGGGGUUUGGCUGAAAGAAAAAAAAUGUAGUAACUGACGAAUCUAAACGACCCACUGCACCAACAAUCAUGUAUCAAUGGUUCUAAGUUACUCAUUGCCAGUUCAAGCCAAAGGUUAUGCUGUUUAGGGAGGGCUUCUAGUAGCACUUGUGCAACUGAGUCGAAUGAAGCUGUGCAAACCCACCCUUUAAACCAUUCCACCCGGCAGUAUUCAGCUUCUUAACCAGCCGCUAGUUAUUCAGGCAAAAAAAGAAAACCUGCUAGUUAGGCCAUCAACAAGCAUUCUUUUUAUAUUUCUUCCAGUAUAAUAAAUUAUUGAUAUCAUUGCUGACUUUUAUAUUAUGGGAGGGAAAAAAAUAACAUUAAUAAAAAGGUGAUAAAAAGCACUGUUUCUAUUUUUUUCUUUUUUUCCAAAAAAAGAAAGUAAUAAAAACUUAAAUUCUUUGUACCAGUUGAAAAAAAAAUGUAUAAAAUUUACAUCUGUGCAGUGGAGUUGUUAAGUUCUAGAAACAGUCUAUGAAGCUUUAGUUUUAGCCUAAGUAGAACAACUGUUAGAGACAGACGUAUAAUUUUUAUGGAAUUACACGAUAAUCAUAUUCGGAUUUAUAGAAGCAUUUUACAAGUAUUGCAAUCAUUGAGUAGAGAUAAUCAUGGUAUUUUCAUCAGCUUGGUACUUUUUCAAACACGACUGCGUUGUGUGAGCAAUCUGCAAUUUUUCAGUCUGUGAGAGCCUGCCCUUCCGCCUCCCGGCCCAUCUCAAACCAGUUAUCCACAGUUUUCUCUCCAAGGCCCAGGACAUUUGUCAGAAGGAAGCAAAAAAAAAAAAAAAAAAUUAGAUCCACCUUUUUCAUCUCCAAAGUCCCCCUCUACCCUGCCCCGCCCUUUCCUGGAUGCAGGGCCAGAGUGACACAACGGAAAAAUUGCAGUUUGUCUGUAUUACUUCUGUUUGGACUCUUUCCACGUUGUCCUGUUUACAAGUUAACCUAAGUUGGGGUAUCUGUCACGGGUCUUCCUGUUUUUGUAUUUAAAUAAAACACGCAGCAGCAAGCUGUCCCUGAGUAGUUUUGCUGCCAUAGUUAAAUCCUCAUGUGUGCAGUGCCAGCCCUGCGGCCCGCACUUUAGUAAGUUAUCGACUCACCGCUGUGAACCUGCCAAUCCGCUGUAACAACUCUGCUUUAAAAACAAAACCAAACAAAACUGAAAAAAACAAAAAAAAAAGUGUUUGUGAUCCAGCUUUCUCUCUUGUCAUCCUAUGUGCAUGCCGUAAGAUCAGUUGGAUAUUAAAAACCAUCAAUAAAGUUUCACGAGAUUUGAAAACAAAGUUUCUGUAGCUUCGAUAUCUAAGACAGAUUAUCGUUCUCUUAAAAAGAGAAAAAAAAAAAACAAAAGCAAAAAAACAAAACAAAAAGGGUGUGUGGGGGGGAACUGCUUAGAAGCCAGAAGCAUAUAAAAUGCUCUUUUCACCAAACUUAUGUGGGUGGGGGAGGGGAGGGGCAGAGGGGGUGUUUAUGGCAUUGCUAAGACAUUCUCAUUCCCCCCCACCUGGGAAACGAUGCUAUGGCAACAACAGGUACCUGGUUGAUGUUCUUAAAGGAAAUACAUUAUCAAGAUGCUAUGGCAUCCCACUCCGGAGGGGAGAGAGAGAGUGGGAACAGGUGGCUGAGGGAGAACACAUAGAUUUCUCUCAAUUGCCUCUGAUUUCAAAAUCCAGAAUUUAACAUUGUGUUUGGAAUCACAAACAUAGACUUCUUACUGUGUUGGUUAAAGUAAAAUCCAUUUGCAGUUUUGAUUUUCAUCAAUGAGCUGUACUUUCCCCCAUGACUGUAUGUAGUUUUAAUAAAAGUCAUUUAGAGCAAGUGGGUGCCAACUGACGUCACAGUCUUUUGUCUAGGCACCCCUCCAAGAUGCCAAUCAGUCAUUCUAAAAAUGUAUGUCAGAAAUGUAAACAGACAUUUUGGAUUUUUUUUAAACAGUAAUUAUUUGGAAUGUUUUCAUUUAUCUAAAUAACUAUUGCUAUUAUGAAUUAUGGAAAAAAAAAGAUUAAUAUCAUGUGUGGCAUAUAGUGACUUCUUAAACACACACAUCACGCAAUCUGCAAACCCAGAAAAUGUGUAUAUCUGUCUUUAGAAAUUAGUGUUUAUAUCACUUACAGUGGUUUGUGAAUAAAGAAAACUGGUUUGUAAUAUCAAAAAAAUAAAAGCUUAGUCUGAAAAGGUA
Molecule: non-coding RNA, 4175 nt
Organism: Microcebus murinus (gray mouse lemur)
Lineage: Eukaryota; Metazoa; Chordata; Mammalia; Primates; Cheirogaleidae
Source: RefSeq, a predicted model, not a curated record